AUGGAUUCGGUCUUCUUCCUAGCGGGAUUUCAGAUUGAAGGUACUUUGGUAGCUCCUCCAAAGAGAUCAUACUGGAUAGAGGAUACCAUUAGGCACUGGAUUUUGUUCAGAUCUGUGAGAGGUCUUACUGUCACCGAUGGUGGGACCAUUGAUGGCAAUGGAAAGAUUUGGUGGCAGAACUCCUGCAAAGUAAACACAAAACUCCCUUGCAGGCAAGCUCCAACGGCUUUGACGUUCUAUUCUUGUACAAAUCUGAAAGUGAAUAAUUUAGAAGUGUUGAACAGCCAACAAAUCCACAUAUCAAUGGAGCGUUGCAGCAAUGUAAGGAUGUCACGCCUAUCAAUCAGAGCACCUGGCACUAGCCCCAACACCGACGACAUCCAUAUCACCCAUAGUAAGGAUGUGAAAGUUAUGGACUGUGCAAUCAAGACUGGGGACGACUGCAUGUCAAUCGAGGAUGGGACUGAGAAUCUACAUGUCAAGAACAUUGUGUGUGGACCAGGGCAUGGGAUAAGCAUUGGGAGCUUAGGUGAUCGCAACUCUCAAGCUCAAGUUGCAAACAUCACCAUUGACGGGGUGCGACUGCACGACACGACGAAUGGAGCUCGUAUCAAGAUAUGGCAGGGCGGGCGGGGUUAUGCAAAGAAUAUCGUGUUCAAGAACAUGAUAAUGGAUAAUGUACGGGACCCGAUCAUUAUCGACCAGAACUACUGCGACUCGGCUACACCAUGUACUAAACAGAAAGCGGCUGUGGAGGUGAGCAAUGUGUUGUUUAAGAACAUUAGGGGGACAAGGGCCUCAAGAGAGGCUAUCAAGCUCAGUUGCAGUAAAGCUGUACCUUGCCAUGGGAUAGCCUUGCACAACGUCAGGCUUACUCUAAAACGAGGGGGUGGUGAUGCAAAGAGCACCUGUCAGAAUGCAAAAAGGAGGAAACUGGGAACAGUUAUGCCACAGCCAUGUAGUCUCAACGAUUGA
RNAcentral lists this ribosomal RNA (975 nucleotides) under Triticum aestivum (bread wheat). Its description in RNAcentral is "partial small subunit ribosomal RNA". Lineage: Eukaryota; Viridiplantae; Streptophyta; Magnoliopsida; Poales; Poaceae. The record is from RNAcentral.